This 133-nucleotide small nucleolar RNA is filed under the name Lottia gigantea (owl limpet). Lineage: Eukaryota; Metazoa; Mollusca; Gastropoda; Lottiidae. The record is from RNAcentral.
UCGAGGCUUGAUCGAAGUCACUUCAGUUUUUGUAUGAAUUGUGGUGGUCAAAAGUAAGCCAAAAUAAAACCUUUCAGACAGUCGCUAUUUGGUUUAACAUAGCUUUAUAGCAUUACCAAAUGUCAGUACAGAU